RNAcentral lists this ribosomal RNA (440 nucleotides) under uncultured bacterium. RNAcentral's name for it is "partial 16S ribosomal RNA". It matches the Rfam family "Bacterial small subunit ribosomal RNA", at positions 338 to 795 of the family's 1533-position model. The record is from RNAcentral.
CCUACGGGAGGCAGCAGUGGGGAAUAUUGCACAAUGGGGGAAACCCUGAUGCAGCGACGCCGCGUGAAGGAAGAAGUAUUUCGGUAUGUAAACUUCUAUCAGCAGGGAAGAAAAUGACGGUACUUGACUAAGAAGCCCCGGCUAACUACGUGCCAGCAGCCGCGGUAAUACGUAGGGGGCAAGCGUUAUCCGGAUUUAUUGGGUGUAAGGGGAGCGUAGGCGGUUUAGCAAGUCAGAAGUGAAAGCCCGGGGCUCAACUCCGGGACUGCUUUUGAAACUGUUGAACUAGAUUGCAGGAGAGGUAAGUGGAAUUCCUAGUGUAGCGGUGAAAUGCGUAGAUAUUAGGAGGAACACCAGUGGCGAAGGCGGCUUACUGGACUGUAAAUGACGCUGAGGCUCGAAAGCGUGGGGAGCGAACAGGAUUAGAUACCCUAGUAGUC